Molecule: ribosomal RNA, 241 nt
Filed under: uncultured Staphylococcus sp.
Lineage: Bacteria; Bacillati; Bacillota; Bacilli; Caryophanales; Staphylococcaceae
Description: partial 16S ribosomal RNA
Rfam family: Bacterial small subunit ribosomal RNA
Source: RNAcentral
GGGACGGGUGAGUAACACGUGGAUAACCUACCUAUAAGACUGGGAUAACUUCGGGAAACCGGAGCUAAUACCGGAUAAUAUAUUGAACCGCAUGGUUCAAUAGUGAAAGACGGUUUUGCUGCCACUUAUAGAUGGAUCCGCGCCGCAUUAGCUAGUUGGUAAGGUAACGGCUUACCAAGGCAACGAUGCGUAGCCGACCUGAGAGGGUGAUCGGCCACACUGGAACUGAGACACGGUCCAG